UCCGGUUGAUCCUGCCGGAGGUCACUGCUAUUGGGAUUCGACUAAGCCAUGCGAGUCGAGAGGGUUCGGCCCUCGGCUGACGGCUCAGUAACACGUGGAUAAUCUGCCCUUAGGUGGAGGAUAAUCUCGGGAAACUGAGGAUAAUACUCCAUAGAUCUAGGAUGCUGGAAUGCAUCUAGAUUGAAAGCUCCGGCGCCUAAGGAUGAGUCUGCGGACUAUCAGGUUGUAGUCAGGGUAAAGACCUGACUAGCCUACGACGGAUACGGGUUGUGAGAGCAAUAACCCGGAGACGAUAUCUGAGACACGAUAUCGGGCCCUACGGGGCGCAGCAGGCGCGAAAACUUCACACUGUGCGAAAGCGCGAUGAGGGAAUCCCAAGUGUUUGCUCGUAAGAGUAAACUGUUUCUUUGUUUAAAACGCAGAGAGAGUAAGGGCUGGGUAAGACGGGUGCCAGCCGCCGCGGUAAUACCUGCAGCUCGAGUGGUGAUCAUUAUUAUUGGGCCUAAAACGUCCGUAGCCGGUUUAGUAAAUGCCUGGGUAAAUCGUGUAGCUUAACUAUACGACUUCCGGGUAGACUGCUAAACUUGAGACCGGGAGAGGCUAGAGGUACUCCUGGGGUAGAGGUGAAAUUCUGUAAUCCUA
Molecule: ribosomal RNA, 642 nt
Filed under: uncultured archaeon
Lineage: Archaea
Description: bacterial SSU rRNA
Rfam family: Archaeal small subunit ribosomal RNA
Source: RNAcentral